RNAcentral lists this ribosomal RNA (501 nucleotides) under uncultured Desulfobulbus sp. RNAcentral's name for it is "bacterial SSU rRNA". It matches the Rfam family "Bacterial small subunit ribosomal RNA", at positions 887 to 1382 of the family's 1533-position model. The record is from RNAcentral. Lineage: Bacteria; Pseudomonadati; Thermodesulfobacteriota; Desulfobulbia; Desulfobulbales; Desulfobulbaceae.
GCCCGCUCAGAAACUUAAAUGAAUUGACGGGGGCCCGCACAAGCGGUGGAGUAUGUGGUUUAAUUCGAUGCAACGCGAAGAACCUUACCUGGUCUUGACAUCCCGGAGACCCUUAGGAAACUAGGGGGUGCUUCCAUCUGGAAGAAUCUGGAGACAGGUGCUGCAUGGCUGUCGUCAGCUCGUGUCGUGAGAUGUUGGGUUAAGUCCCGCAACGAGCGCAACCCUUGCCUUUAGUUGCCAGCAGUUCGGCUGGGCACUCUAAAGGGACUGCCGGUGUUAAACCGGAGGAAGGUGGGGAUGACGUCAAGUCCUCAUGGCCUUUAUGACCAGGGCUACACACGUACUACAAUGGCCGAUACAAAGGGCAGCGACACUGCGAGGUGAAGCCAAUCCCGUAAAAUCGGUCUCAGUCCGGAUUGGAGUCUGCAACUCGACUCCAUGAAGUUGGAAUCGCUAGUAAUCGUGGAUCAGCAUGCCACGGUGAAUACGUUCCCGGGCCUU